This is a long non-coding RNA of Bubalus bubalis (water buffalo), 438 nucleotides long. RefSeq lists it as uncharacterized. NCBI's taxonomy places the organism in Eukaryota, Metazoa, Chordata, Mammalia, Artiodactyla, Bovidae. The record is from RefSeq and is a predicted model, not a curated record. The transcript has 3 exons.
CGGGGAGGCCUCAGUGUCUCCUCUCCUUCGGGAGAACGGAAGGACGCCUGCGGCCUACCUUUUGGAGCGUUUGCAACAAAUCCACAACUGGCUGAAAAGAUUAAAAUCCAUUUUGCCCUGGCUCCAGUCAAUACUAAUAGAUAUAUAACAAGUAUGGUUUGUGGUCUUGCUUACAUCGAACCAGCAUUAUUCAAGAGUUGCCUUGAUGUCUACUUGAUACAGAAUCCAGCAGCAAUUUCAUUUCAAAAUCCAUUUCACAUUAUUCAAGAACAACUUUUCAAAUUUUAUCACUCAGUAUUUGUGAUACUGAGUGAUAUUAGAAUCAGAUCAGAUCAUAUCAGUCGCUCAGUCAUGUCCGACUCUUUGCGACCCCAUGAAUCGCAGCACGCCAGGCCUCCCUGUCCAUCACCAACUCCCGGAGUUCACUCAGACUCACGU